ACCGCCGCGAACCCCGAGCGGCGCCGCUUCCGCCGGGCGCGGCUGCUCCGGGCCGGCCCCGGGGACCCCGGGGCUGCGGCACCGCCAGGGAAGGGAACGGGGCCGGGAGCGGCUGGGGAAUCCCUGAGGGAGCUGGGCAGGGCUCACCUGGAGCAAAGGAGGGAUCUUUUCCCUCUCUGCAAUUCCCUGCCAGGAGGGCACAGCCGGGGGAUGUCGGGCUGUGCUCCAGGGAACAGGGACAGGAGCAGAGGGAACGGCCUCAGGCUGGGCUGGGGAGGCUCACGGUGGAUAUUUCGGAGAAUUUCCCCGUGGAAAGGGGGCUCAGGGAUUGGAACUGCCCAGGGAGGUUUGGGGUGCCCAUCCCUGGAGGUGCCCAAGGAUUUCCUGGAGGUGGCACUCAGCUCUGGGCUGGGGACAAGGGCUCGGGAUGGAUUUCCUGACGCUGUUCCUGCUGUACCUGUGCUCCGUGCUGGCCGUGGCUGCCCUGCUGUGCCUGAGCUCGGGAAGGCAGGAGAGCUUCCUCACCAGGAGCGUCACCAGGGCCAGCCAGGUACAGCCCUGCGCUGCCAGGCAGGGAAUGAGCUGCCAGGGGAACCAGCAGCUGCCCUGUGUGCUAAAAUUAGGGCAACUGCUGUAUUUGUUAUCAAAAAAAAGCCAACAAAAGCCAGUGUGUGUGGUCACAGUGAUAAUAUAUUUCAUCCUGCUUUAAUGCCUGCUCUCAAGGAAGUGAGAUAGGAAGUAGAAAUACACUUCUCUGAGAUGGUUCAAUCCUGCCCAAGCAGGUUGUAAAAAUCAUUUGGGUCUCCCAGCCCUGCCCGUGCCUGUCUGGGGUGAGGUUGGAGCUUCCCACCGUGCCAGAAGUGCCUUCCUCACUAACACCACAACACAUCUCAGAAAAAUUAAAUAAGAAUCGGGCCCCAGGGAUUUGCAGUUUUGUGGUGUUGCUGCUGUCAUCAAGAGGAGAAAGGUGGGGGAGGUUUGAGGAUUAAAAUAGGGAGAGAAUUAUAAGUGGUGGCAAAUAUUUGAGGGAAAGCUCUUUAAUGUGUGUACUAAUGCUGCAGGCUCUUGUUCAAUAAGAAAGAAGCAGGAAUGAAGAGCUUUAAAAGAGGAUUAAGAAUUGGCAUUUUAUUGUAAAAACGAGGAAUUGGGAAAGCACCAGUUCAUUUUUCUGUUUGUUGGGCUGUGUCUGAAUGAAAAGGAAAAAAUAAUGCUGUAAUAUUUCUGGAAGGUAAAGGAUGAGAAAAUUAUCACUUAAAUCGAAAAUUAUGUUUAAUGCUGUUCACAGGAGUUCAGGCAGACUUUUUUUUAUUACUGGCAUUAUACUUCCUUUUGGUUUAUAGACACACUGUGCAGAGAAAUUGAUUUUUUUCCCCCAUAUCUUAAUAGCUGCUGCUAUGAAGUGUUUAGACAGCAGCAAUUAAAUUACUGCUGUGGUAUGAAGCCACUGUCUGGGGGAAUCCAAUCAAUACUUGUGCCUGGGAAAUAAAUACAUAUGAAUGUAAUCA
RNAcentral lists this long non-coding RNA (1505 nucleotides) under Junco hyemalis (dark-eyed junco). RNAcentral describes it as "lncRNA (ENSJHYG00000003761.1)". The record is from RNAcentral. Lineage: Eukaryota; Metazoa; Chordata; Aves; Passeriformes; Passerellidae.